This 440-nucleotide ribosomal RNA is filed under the name uncultured bacterium. RNAcentral's name for it is "partial 16S ribosomal RNA". It matches the Rfam family "Bacterial small subunit ribosomal RNA", at positions 338 to 795 of the family's 1533-position model. The record is from RNAcentral.
CCUACGGGAGGCAGCAGUGGGGGAUAUUGCACAAUGGGGGAAACCCUGAUGCAGCGACGCCGCGUGUAGGAAGACGGUCCUCUGGAUUGUAAACUACUGUCCCCAGGGACGAAGAUGACGGUACCUGGGGAGGAAGCUCCGGCUAACUACGUGCCAGCAGCCGCGGUAAUACGUAGGGAGCGAGCGUUGUCCGGAAUUACUGGGGGGAAAGGGAGCGUAGGCGGGGAUGCAAGUUGGGUGUUAAAUCUACCGGCUCAACUGGUAGUCGCACUCAAAACUGCAGCUCUUGAGUGAAGUAGAGGCAGGCGGAAUUCCUAGUGUAGCGGUGAAAUGCGUAGAUAUUAGGAGGAACACCAGUGGCGAAGGCGGCCUGCUGGGCUUUUACUGACGCUGAGGCUCGAAAGUGUGGGGAGCAAACAGGAUUAGAUACCCUAGUAGUC